GUGUACAGAAGGGAAGAUUUCGGUCGGAAGAUCUGUGCAUGAGUGGCGGACGGGUGAGUAACGCGUGGGCAACCUGGCCUGUACAGGGGGAUAACACUUAGAAAUAGGUGCUAAUACCGCAUAACGGGAGAAGCCGCAUGGCUUUUUCCUGAAAACUCCGGUGGUACAGGAUGGGCCCGCGUCUGAUUAGCCAGUUGGCAGGGUAACGGCCUACCAAAGCGACGAUCAGUAGCCGGCCUGAGAGGGCGGACGGCCACACUGGGGCUGAGACACGGCCCAGACUCCUACGGGAGGCAGCAGUGGGGGAUAUUGCACAAUGGGGGAAACCCUGAUGCAGCGACGCCGCGUGGGUGAAGAAGCGCCUCGGCGCGUAAAGCCCUGUCAGCAGGGAAGAAAAUGACGGUACCUGAAGAAGAAGCCCCGGCUAACUACGUGCCAGCAGCCGCGGUAAUACGUAGGGGGCAAGCGUUAUCCGGAUUUACUGGGUGUAAAGGGGGCGCAGACGGCGAUGCAAGCCAGGAGUGAAAGCCCGGGGCCCAACCCCGGGACUGCUCUUGGAACUGCGUGGCUAGAGUGCAGGAGGGGCAGGCGGAAUUCCUGGUGUAGCGGUGAAAUGCGUAGAUAUCAGGAGGAACACCGGUGGCGAAGGCGGCCUGCUGGACUG
This 664-nucleotide ribosomal RNA is filed under the name uncultured bacterium. RNAcentral describes it as "bacterial SSU rRNA". It matches the Rfam family "Bacterial small subunit ribosomal RNA", at positions 61 to 736 of the family's 1533-position model. The record is from RNAcentral.